Long non-coding RNA from Sander lucioperca (pikeperch), 346 nucleotides. RefSeq lists it as uncharacterized. The record is from RefSeq and is a predicted model, not a curated record. The transcript is spliced from 3 exons. NCBI's taxonomy places the organism in Eukaryota, Metazoa, Chordata, Actinopteri, Perciformes, Percidae.
AAGAUCAAUGAUGAUGAUGAUAAAUGAGAAGUAUCUGAUGAUGACCCUCAUGUGGCACUGACACUCCAGACCCCCGGCCGACUUCAAACUGACCCAAAGACGACUCUGCGACCUCUGAACAUGUAGCAACUUGAGCGGAUGAAUUUAUGGAUUAUGAAUCAGCUUCAUAAAGACGAAUGGAGGACGUUAUGAGACGGUUGCGGGUGGACUGGUGUUUACAUGGUCCGUGGGAGCUGGAAGUCCACAGCUGUGUCGCGACUGCAGUGCUUUUAUUUGUCUCAUACCUGCAGAUAUGCAGCCUCAAUGGAUGGCAUCUGGGAAUAAGUAGAGGAACCUUCUACAGGCC